GUGAUCACCUAAAAUUAAUUACUCUAUUUCGUAUUUAUUCGGUCGGGCGUUAGCCAUAUUUUUUAAAUUUAACUUAAUAAUGCAGUUUCAAUAAAUGAGGGUGCCAUACUCGUACUAAUGCAAAAUUCAUUCUUCUAAUCCGCUAUUUAUAAGUAUUAAACAUGUUCCGUACCGAUAACAAGGGAGUGAUUACCCUCAUCUAAACCCACAUACCUACGCUGUGGUUUCAUGUUUUUUUCUCUAAAAUAUGGUUUUUAUUUUUAGUUUUGGUCCGCGG
This 277-nucleotide unclassified non-coding RNA is filed under the name Melitaea cinxia (Glanville fritillary). Its description in RNAcentral is "misc RNA ENSMCXG00005010378.1". Lineage: Eukaryota; Metazoa; Arthropoda; Insecta; Lepidoptera; Nymphalidae. The record is from RNAcentral.